AGUGAACGCUGGCGGUAGGCCUAACACAUGCAAGUCGAACGGCAGCACAGUAAGAGCUUGCUCUUACGGGUGGCGAGUGGCGGACGGGUGAGGAAUACAUCGGAAUCUACUUUUUCGUGGGGGAUAACGUAGGGAAACUUACGCUAAUACCGCAUACGACCUACGGGUGAAAGCAGGGGAUCUUCGGACCUUGCGCGAUUGAAUGAGCCGAUGUCGGAUUAGCUAGUUGGCGGGGUGAAGGCCCACCAAGGCGACGAUCCGUAGCUGGUCUGAGAGGAUGAUCAGCCACACUGGAACUGAGACACGGUCCAGACUCCUACGGGAGGCAGCAGUGGGGAAUAUUGGACAAUGGGCGCAAGCCUGAUCCAGCCAUACCGCGUGGGUGAAGAAGGCCUUCGGGUUGUAAAGCCCUUUUGUUGGGAAAGAAAAGCAGCAGGUUAAUACCCCGCUGUUCCGACGGUACCCAAAGAAUAAGCACCGGCUAACUUCGUG
Molecule: ribosomal RNA, 492 nt
Filed under: uncultured bacterium
Lineage: Bacteria
Description: partial 16S ribosomal RNA
Rfam family: Bacterial small subunit ribosomal RNA
Source: RNAcentral